GAUGAACGCUGGCGGCGUGCCUAAUACAUGCAAGUCGAGCGAACAGACGAGGAGCUUGCUCCUCUGACGUUAGCGGCGGACGGGUGAGUAACACGUGGAUAGCCUACCUAUAAGACUGGGAUAACUUCGGGAAACCGGAGCUAAUACCGGAUAAUAUAUUGAACCGCAUGGUUCAAUAGUGAAAGACGGUUUUGCUGUCACUUAUAGAUGGAUCCGCGCCGCAUUAGCUAGUUGGUAAGGUAACGGCUUACCAAGGCAACGAUGCGUAGCCGACCUGAGAGGGGGAUCGGCCACACUGGAACUGAGACACGGUCCAGACUCCUACGGGAGGCAGCAGUAGGGAAUCUUCCGCAAUGGGCGAAAGCCUGACGGAGCAACGCCGCGUGAGUGAUGAAGGUCUUCGGAUCGUAAAACUCUGUUAUUAGGGAAGAACAAAUGUGUAAGUAACUAUGCACGUCUUGACGGUACCUAAUCAGAAAGCCACGGCUAACUACGUG
This 497-nucleotide ribosomal RNA is filed under the name uncultured bacterium. Its description in RNAcentral is "partial 16S ribosomal RNA". It matches the Rfam family "Bacterial small subunit ribosomal RNA", at positions 28 to 507 of the family's 1533-position model. The record is from RNAcentral.